Molecule: long non-coding RNA, 189 nt
Organism: Hyalella azteca
Lineage: Eukaryota; Metazoa; Arthropoda; Malacostraca; Amphipoda; Hyalellidae
Exons: 3
Source: RefSeq, a predicted model, not a curated record
CUAGCUGUGAUUGUGUGUGCAUCUUCCUUAAUUUUUUCACCGUAAGUGCUUUGACAGCGACCAUGUCGAGGCCUUCUUCAUGCCGGCGUCCAUCAGCGUUCCCAGCAGCCCGCGGGGUGUCAGCGCUGCUGCUGCUGCAGGCGCUGCUGGCGUCAGCGGACCACGGCCACGACCACGCGUCUGGACAUG